CCUACGGGAGGCUGCAGUGGGGAAUAUUGGACAAUGGGCGAAAGCCUGAUCCAGCCAUGCCGCGUGUGUGAAGAAGGCCUUCGGGUUGUAAAGCACUUUCAGUGGGGAAGAAAGCCUUGGGGCUAAUACCCUCGAGGAAGGACAUCACCCACAGAAGAAGCACCGGCUAACUCCGUGCCAGCAGCCGCGGUAAUACGGAGGGUGCGAGCGUUAAUCGGAAUUACUGGGCGUAAAGCGCGCGUAGGCGGUCUGAUAAGCCGGUUGUGAAAGCCCCGGGCUCAACCUGGGAACGGCAUCCGGAACUGUCAGGCUAGAGUGCAGGAGAGGAAGGUAGAAUUCCCGGUGGAGCGGUGAAAUGCGUAGAGAUCGGGAGGAAUACCAGUGGCGAAGGCGGCCUUCUGGACUGACACUUACGCUGAGGUGCGAAAGCGUGGGUAGCAAACAGGAAUAGAUACCCUGGUAGUC
This 465-nucleotide ribosomal RNA is filed under the name Vreelandella stevensii. RNAcentral's name for it is "partial 16S ribosomal RNA". It matches the Rfam family "Bacterial small subunit ribosomal RNA", at positions 338 to 795 of the family's 1533-position model. Lineage: Bacteria; Pseudomonadati; Pseudomonadota; Gammaproteobacteria; Oceanospirillales; Halomonadaceae. The record is from RNAcentral.